Molecule: long non-coding RNA, 1066 nt
Filed under: Cicer arietinum (chickpea)
Lineage: Eukaryota; Viridiplantae; Streptophyta; Magnoliopsida; Fabales; Fabaceae
Description: long non-coding RNA (CARI_LNC001638)
Source: RNAcentral
CAAUUUUGUCUAUUUUGGUUAACAAUAAAUCAAAAAAUGAAAUAUGUAUUUUAAAAAAGGAAAUAAAAAUAAUUACAUUUACAAUUUCAAAUCUAAUCAGAGUUUUAAAACCAAAUCAAAUUACAAACCAAGAAUGAAGCUAAAUUAAAUUACAAUAAAAAUUAAAUCAGAUCAAGCCAGCUGUUUCCAUUUUUGCAUGUGUUCUGUUCCCUAUUGUUGCUUUUGUUCACUGUCAAACCCUGUUAUGUUGAUGAUGACUGUCAUUGUACAUAUGUAGAACAAAAUGACAAAUUUUUGAGUUUAAAAAAAAAACUAAAGGACAAAUGAAAGUUCAGCAAAUCAUCAGACAAAAGCAAAAUAAUCUAAAAUUAUGAAGGGUGUAGGAAAAUGCAUAUGAUGAGCAAAGAAAAUGAAACAUCAAACGGGAAAUUGAUAGAGAAGGACCAAGGCAAGCAAGAAAGCAACUAAACAGAUAAAAAACUCUAUAAAUACACCCUAUCAAAUUUCAAAAAAGGGGCAGAGGACGGGGAUCUGAAAAAAAUCGUCUGAUAAAAAAAACACAUCAAAAGAAGAGAGUUUUAUUUUUUUGAAAAAAAGAGAAGAAACGUUUCUUUUUUUUAAAGAGAUAUUUGAAAACAAAAAUAAUUGAACAUAGAAGGAGCAACAACCCAACUCAAUCCUUAAAAUCAUAUAUAUUUUGAAGUAAAAAUAAUAGAAAAGGAGAGAAACCGAAAUCACGGUCAUUUCUGCCGGUAACUGCCGCUAACCACUGUCAACCGUGCACCGCGCCGUCGCCGCCACUUCUCCUUUUUGGUAUGUGUCCCUAUCAUGUUUGUUGUUAUGUUCACUAUACUUGUUUCUCCUUUGAAUGGAUUUACGUCUAUUUUGAGAUGAUGUUGGUUUGUAUUGAAAUAAUGCUUGAGCUAAAUUAUUUAUGCUCGUUUGUAUUGAAAAAUGAUGAGGCUAAGUUGUUUUGAAAUGAUGGCUACUUUGAAACUUAGCUGGUUUGGAAGUAUAGCAUGUGGGAUUCGUAGUUUUUGAAAGCACGCGGCCAUGCUGUCCUGAA